UUACCAGGUCUUGACAUCCCGAUGCUAUUUCUAGAGAUAGAAAGUUACUUCGGUACAUCGGUGACAGGUGGUGCAUGGUUGUCGUCAGCUCGUGUCGUGAGAUGUUGGGUUAAGUCCCGCAACGAGCGCAACCCCUAUUGUUAGUUGCCAUCAUUCAGUUGGGCACUCUAGCGAGACUGCCGGUAAUAAACCGGAGGAAGGUGGGGAUGACGUCAAAUCAUCAUGCCCCUUAUGACCUGGGCUACACACGUGCUACAAUGGUUGGUACAACGAGUUGCGAGUCGGUGACGGCGAGCUAAUCUCUUAAAGCCAAUCUCAGCUCGGAUUGCAGGCUGCAAUUCGCCUGCAUGAAGUCGGAAUCGCUAGUAAUCGCAGGUCAGCAUACUGCGGUGAAUACGUUCCCGGGCCUU
RNAcentral lists this ribosomal RNA (410 nucleotides) under uncultured Streptococcus sp. RNAcentral describes it as "bacterial SSU rRNA". It matches the Rfam family "Bacterial small subunit ribosomal RNA", at positions 971 to 1382 of the family's 1533-position model. The record is from RNAcentral. Lineage: Bacteria; Bacillati; Bacillota; Bacilli; Lactobacillales; Streptococcaceae.